UAAGUGCACGCCUUUAUACGGUGAAACCGCGAAUGGCUCAUUAAAUCAGCUAUGGUUUACUGGAUCGUACCCGUUAAAUGGAUAACUGUAAUAACUCUAGAGCUAAUACAUGCCACGAAGCCCUGACCCGCAAGGGAAUGGGUGCACUUAUUAGAUCAGAAGCCAACCAGGUGCCGGUCGCAAGACUGGUGCCUGCUGUCGUUCUGGUGACUCUGGAUAAUUGUUACAGAUCGCAGUCGGCCUUGAGUCGGCGACGGGUCCUUCAAAUGUCUGCCCUAUCAACUUUCGAUGGUAGGUGAUCUGCCUACCAUGGUGAUAACGGGUAACGGGGAAUCAGGGUUCGAUUCCGGAGAGGGAGCCUGAGAAACGGCUACCACUUCCAAGGGAGGCAGCAGGCGCGCAAAUUACCCACUCCCAGUACGGGAGGUG
RNAcentral lists this ribosomal RNA (429 nucleotides) under Triaenophorus nodulosus. RNAcentral's name for it is "SSU rRNA". It matches the Rfam family "Eukaryotic small subunit ribosomal RNA", at positions 60 to 466 of the family's 1831-position model. Lineage: Eukaryota; Metazoa; Platyhelminthes; Cestoda; Bothriocephalidea; Triaenophoridae. The record is from RNAcentral.